AUGUACAAAAUUGUACAUCUUGUCCUACAGCAGGGAUCAAGGGGAAUUAAUCUGUGUGUGGUGCUUGGACAGGCAGCUCUGCUACCUCCAGGCGAACGUCUCCUCAGCAAACAAGCUGCACGCCUUAAAACACUACAACCCUUUUUAAAAAUGUGCCGGGCUGGUGCUGUACUAGCAUGCUGUGUAGCCGUUUCGGAGUUCGAUCACUUCAAGGAAUUUAACAGAAAUAAAACCUACAAUGAAACCUGCCCCUGGAAUGUCACAGAACGCUUUUUAAAGCUAAGCGCACUUCUGCUUGGCACAGCGACCUCGGGCCGCCGUGCCCGAGCUCCCGGGGUCCCCAGGCACGGCCAGCGGGGCCUUUUUGCCAAAUCUCGGGACCGGCCCCGCUCCCCCAGCCCCAGGCCGGGCGCCCCGCCCGGGCCGCUUUGGGGCCUCUUUAGGGCCGGCCCGGCCCCGCCGCCUCCCCUCAGCGCCGCUCGCGCUCCACUCCCCUCCCCCGGCAGCCCCACAGCCCAGCAGCGCGGGGGGCGCUGGGAAACGCGGCUCGGCCCUCCCUGGAUCCCCGGGGAGGGGCUGCCCUCUGGGCCCGGCCGGACUACAUUUCCCAAGAUACCCCGCGCAGGGUCCCGGCACCGGUCUCCUCGCCGGCGACAUCCCCCUUCCCGCUGCCUGCCGGGAAACGGAGUCCAGCAGGGUAAAGCUCCCGCGGGGCCGGCCGGGUCCUUCCGGGCGCGGGACUCCAUUUCCCAUCCUCCUCCUCCAGCCCCGCCGUCGGCCCCGCUCGGGCGCCAUUUUGUUUCGCGUUACAACCUAAGAUGGCGGCCGGGCGAAGAGACUGAAGGUUGCUGUGGCGGGACGAGCGGCGUCCGGCCGGAUGGCUCCGGCCCCGUAGCGGCUCCUUGUCCCCCGGGGGCCGCCCUCGCCCACCGCCUGCCCCGGGCCGAGCUAGGGGCGCGGAGGAGCCGGUCCAUGGCCAGGAGGUGGCCGGUGCGGUCGCCGGUGCGG
RNAcentral lists this long non-coding RNA (1008 nucleotides) under Anser cygnoides (Swan goose). Its description in RNAcentral is "lncRNA (ENSACDG00005013924.1)". The record is from RNAcentral. Lineage: Eukaryota; Metazoa; Chordata; Aves; Anseriformes; Anatidae.